AUUGAACGCUGGCGGCAGGCCUAACACAUGCAAGUCGAACGAGUGGCGGACGGGUGAGUAAUGUCUGGGAAACUGCCCGAUGGAGGGGGAUAACUACUGGAAACGGUAGCUAAUACCGCAUACCAUCGGAUGUGCCCAGAUGGGAUUAGCUUGUAGGUGGGGUAACGGCUCACCUAGGCGACGAUCCCUAGCUGGUCUGAGAGGAUGACCAGCCACGCUGGAACUGAGACAAGGGCCAGACUCCUACGGGAGGCAGCAGUGGGGAAUAGUGCACAAUGGGCGCAAGCCUGAUGCAGCCAUGCCGCGUGUAUGAAGAAGGCCUUCGGGUUGGAAAGUACUUUCAGCGAGGAGGCGUUACUCGCAGAAGAAGCACCGGCUAACUACGUGCCAGCAGCCGCGGUAAUAC
Molecule: ribosomal RNA, 406 nt
Filed under: uncultured bacterium
Lineage: Bacteria
Description: partial 16S ribosomal RNA
Rfam family: Bacterial small subunit ribosomal RNA
Source: RNAcentral